GGGCCAGUAGCUCAACGGUAGAGCGCUCGCUUGGCUUGCGGGAGGCUUCGGGUUCGAAUCCCGACUGGUCCA
Molecule: transfer RNA, 72 nt
Filed under: Candidatus Woesearchaeota archaeon
Lineage: Archaea; Nanobdellati; Candidatus Woesearchaeota
Description: tRNA-Ala
Rfam family: tRNA
About the family: Transfer RNA (tRNA) molecules are approximately 80 nucleotides in length.
Source: RNAcentral